RNAcentral lists this ribosomal RNA (253 nucleotides) under uncultured bacterium. Its description in RNAcentral is "partial 16S ribosomal RNA". It matches the Rfam family "Bacterial small subunit ribosomal RNA", at positions 524 to 776 of the family's 1533-position model. The record is from RNAcentral.
UACGUAGGUGGCAAGCGUUGUCCGGAAUUACUGGGCGUAAAGGGCGUGUAGGCGGCCAUUUAAGUCAGAUGUGAAAUCCCCGGGCUUAACCUGGGAACUGCAUUUGAGACUGGAUGGCUUGAGGACCGGAGAGGGUAGUGGAAUUCCUAGUGUAGCGGUGAAAUGCGUAGAUAUUAGGAGGAACACCAGUGGCGAAGGCGACUACCUGGACGGCACCUGACGCUGAGGCGCGAAAGCUAGGGUAGCAAACGGG